ACAGAGAUCCUGAUCCAGUCCAUCAACUACGACGGGAAGGUCUGGAAAGAGGCCACCGUGCACCCAAAGUGAACUCCAUGAUGGAGACGGACUCUCAGAA
RNAcentral lists this non-coding RNA (100 nucleotides) under Polarella glacialis. The record is from RNAcentral. Lineage: Eukaryota; Dinophyceae; Suessiales; Suessiaceae.